This 478-nucleotide long non-coding RNA is filed under the name Capsicum annuum. Its description in RNAcentral is "long non-coding RNA (CANN_LNC001097)". Lineage: Eukaryota; Viridiplantae; Streptophyta; Magnoliopsida; Solanales; Solanaceae. The record is from RNAcentral.
AAAAAAAAGAAAAAAGAAAAAAAAAGAAAUCAAUCAAAAAUUAAAAUCAAACAAGAGAAUGAUGUUUUCUGAACUACGUUUGACUUGAUUCUUGUUAUGAUAUGAUACGUAGACAGCCCUACUCCGGGGUUUGAUCCAACCAAAAGAAAAGUCAAAUUACCCAGAAUAAGAUAAAAUUGGGGCAAAAAGUUUAUUUCCUUAAUAAGAGUCGAUUCCAAAAGUUGUAUGUUUCACCCAAUGUUAUAUAAAUGUUUCAGCCUCAUGCCGACCUUUCUUUCUAACCCCUAUCCAAAAGCCAAGUUACAACCAAAUAAAGACCUUCAGAUCAAUCUUUGAGUAUGUCAAGGCUAAACAUGUUAUGAGUGCAUGAUAUUUCAUAUUUUGGGUGUUUAUUUAAAAAAAAUGAGAGAGUUUUAUUGGUGAAAACCCUUUUGGGCACCAUAAGACGAAUGUGAGCUGAGACAGAAAUGAAAAGGAU